AUUGACAUGAUGCAUCUCUUAUCACAUCACUGGGAAUUUUUUUAUCUCAUUUAAUCCUGAGUCCAAAGUGGUAUUUUAGUCUUUUACCCUUACUUUAACAAUGGGAUCUAGGUCCCAGAACAACAUUAUUGCCUUAUUUUUCACAGUUCUCUUAAAAUCAAAAGCAUUUCCUCUCAAGAACAAACCCUGGCCCCUUCAACAUUGAAGUUCAAUUCUCAAGAAUUCACCAACA
Molecule: long non-coding RNA, 232 nt
Filed under: Capsicum annuum
Lineage: Eukaryota; Viridiplantae; Streptophyta; Magnoliopsida; Solanales; Solanaceae
Description: long non-coding RNA (CANN_LNC001021)
Source: RNAcentral